This 732-nucleotide ribosomal RNA is filed under the name uncultured Bacteroidales bacterium. Its description in RNAcentral is "bacterial SSU rRNA". It matches the Rfam family "Bacterial small subunit ribosomal RNA", at positions 28 to 749 of the family's 1533-position model. Lineage: Bacteria; Pseudomonadati; Bacteroidota; Bacteroidia; Bacteroidales. The record is from RNAcentral.
GAUGAACGCUAGCUACAGGCUUAACACAUGCAAGUCGAGGGGCAGCAUGGUCUUAGCUCGCUAAGGCCGAUGGCGACCGGCGCACGGGUGAGUAACACGUAUCCAACCUGCCGUCUACUCUUGGACAGCCUUCUGAAAGGAAGAUUAAUACAAGAUGGCAUCAUGAGUCCGCAUGUUCACAUGAUUAAAGGUAUUCCGGUAGACGAUGGGGAUGCGUUCCAUUAGAUAGUAGGCGGGGUAACGGCCCACCUAGUCUUCGAUGGAUAGGGGUUCUGAGAGGAAGGUCCCCCACAUUGGAACUGAGACACGGUCCAAACUCCUACGGGAGGCAGCAGUGAGGAAUAUUGGUCAAUGGGCGAGAGCCUGAACCAGCCAAGUAGCGUGAAGGAUGACUGCCCUAUGGGUUGUAAACUUCUUUUAUAAAGGAAUAAAGUCGGGUAUGGAUACCCGUUUGCAUGUACUUUAUGAAUAAGGAUCGGCUAACUCCGUGCCAGCAGCCGCGGUAAUACGGAGGAUCCGAGCGUUAUCCGGAUUUAUUGGGUUUAAAGGGAGUGUAGAUGGAUAUUUAAGUCAGUUGUGAAAGUUUGCGGCUCAACCGUAAAAUUGCAGUUGAUACUGGAUAUCUUGAGUGCAGUUGAGGCAGGCGGAAUUCGUGGUGUAGCGGUGAAAUGCUUAGAUAUCACGAAGAACUCCGAUUGCGAAGGCAGCCUGCUAAGCUGCGACUGACAUUGA